RNAcentral lists this ribosomal RNA (497 nucleotides) under uncultured bacterium. RNAcentral describes it as "partial 16S ribosomal RNA". It matches the Rfam family "Bacterial small subunit ribosomal RNA", at positions 28 to 507 of the family's 1533-position model. The record is from RNAcentral.
GAUGAACGCUGGCGGCGUGCCUAAUACAUGCAAGUCGAGCGAACAGACGAGGAGCUUGCUCCUCUGACGUUAGCGGCGGACGGGUGAGUAACACGUGGAUAACCUACCUAUAAGACUGGGAUAACUUCGGGAAACCGGAGCUAAUACCGGAUAAUAUAUUGAACCGCAUGGUUCAAUAGUGAAAGACGGUUUUGCUGUCACUUAUAGAUGGAUCCGCGCCGCAUUAGCUAGUUGGUAAGGUAACGGCUUACCAAGGCAACGAUGCGUAGCCGACCUGAGAGGGUGAUCGGACACACUGGAACUGAGACACGGUCCAGACUCCUACGGGAGGCAGCAGUAGGGACUCUUCCGCAAUGGGCGAAAGCCUGACGGAGCAACGCCGCGUGAGUGAUGAAGGUCUUCGGAUCGUAAAACUCUGUUAUUAGGGAAGAACAAAUGUGUAAGUAACUAUGCACGUCUUGACGGUACCUAAUCAGAAAGCCACGGCUAACUACGUG